AAAUCGGCUUUGACGAGAAGAGUACACCCCGUCCGCACCUGACAGAAAGCCCGGAGGAUGGAAGCGGGCAGGCCGCGCGGAGUGGAAGAUGGUCUCUGAGCCGCGCGGGCGAAGGGGAGUUUUCUCCUCCAGCCUGCGACGGGUGCGCCCGUUACCGCGCCGCGCUGGUACAUUAUUGAUAUGCCAGCGCGCAAGGCUCUGCCUGCAAAGGCCGGGCGAACCAAGGUGGUACCACGAAAGCAAUGCUCUCGUCCUUGGC
Non-coding RNA from Faecalibacterium sp. CAG:82, 259 nucleotides. The record is from Rfam. Lineage: Bacteria; Bacillati; Bacillota; Clostridia; Eubacteriales; Oscillospiraceae.